GUUGCCGGAGAGCUGAAAUGGGGGGCUGAGUUCUGCCGGAAUCUGUGGGGAUUGGUGGUUCGGGAAUCAAAACCGCGGAUAAUAAUCGAGAGCUGCUCGAUUUCUGACGAUCGAUUCCCGAUUCCACCCAUUCCUAUAGGUUUCGGGAUUUACCCCCUUUUCAUAUCCUGCGUUCUGUUCAAGCCGUUACCGUACUUAGGGUUCCUCCGGAGGUUCUUCUCCACAGAUCUACCCUUGCGAACUAACAACAUCGCUACGAAGGGGAUUUUGAAGCAAAAACUUCAGCUGUUUACAGAUCUAGUUCCGAUUCUUUGCGUUUGAUCAGAUCUGAAGCUUUAGAUUUCUUAUUUGAAUUCGCGACUUAGUAGAUCUGGUAAUUGGGUUAAAUUUCGUAUAAUAAGAAGACAGUUGUUCAUUGUAACUCAGAAAUAGCUUUCAGAUCCAUGCACGAUCCUUAUGUCUAAUAAAGAAAAUAAGUUUUCAAUUCCUUGUUUGAAUUUACGACUCUGUAAAUCUGGUGAUUGGAUCAAAUUACGUGUAAUAGAACGCAAUUAUUUCGUUGUAAUUAAGAAUCGGAUGCUUCAUGAUAUGCAAAGAAGAACAAAUGGAAUCUGAUGCAAA
Molecule: long non-coding RNA, 621 nt
Organism: Andrographis paniculata
Lineage: Eukaryota; Viridiplantae; Streptophyta; Magnoliopsida; Lamiales; Acanthaceae
Exons: 2
Source: RefSeq, a predicted model, not a curated record